Molecule: ribosomal RNA, 356 nt
Filed under: uncultured bacterium
Lineage: Bacteria
Description: partial 16S ribosomal RNA
Rfam family: Bacterial small subunit ribosomal RNA
Source: RNAcentral
CCUACAGGAGGCAGCAGUGGGGAAUAUUGGACAAUGGGGGGAACCCUGAUCCAGCGACGCCGCGUGAGUGAAGAAGUAUUUCGGUAUGUAAAGCUCUAUCAGCAGGGAAGAAAGAAAUGACGGUACCUGACUAAGAAGCCCCGGCUAACUACGUGCCAGCAGCCGCGGUAAUACGUAGGGGGCAAGCGUUAUCCGGAUUCACUGGGUGUAAAGGGAGCGUAGACGGUUACGCAAGUCUGGAGUGAAAGGCGGGGGCCCAACCCUCGGACUGCUUUGGAAACUGUAAAACUGGAGUGAAGGAGAGGUAGGUGGAAUUCUUGGUGUAGGGGUGAAAUGCGGAGAUAUUAGGAGGAACA